Molecule: long non-coding RNA, 2108 nt
Organism: Vicia villosa (hairy vetch)
Lineage: Eukaryota; Viridiplantae; Streptophyta; Magnoliopsida; Fabales; Fabaceae
Exons: 7
Source: RefSeq, a predicted model, not a curated record
UCUCUCUCUCUCUUUCUCUCUCGCGUUUCCAUUUCAACAACAAAACAUUCGAAUCAAAUCUCUACACAAUCUCUCGCUCAUUCUCAAUCCUCAAACGCAUCGAUUCAACAAUCAAGAGCAAAGAAGAAAUGAACCCUUAACCCAUAAAAUCCCAUACCCCAUAUUUGAUAUUCAUGAUACAUACAUGGUGAAAAAAAGAAGAUGCAACAAUAACAAAAGAUAAAAAUGAAUUUGAAAAGGGUCAGUAUUCUAUAGAUAUGGUGUAAUGGAGAAAACUCAAGAUUCUGGCCUGUCGAUGACAACAGAAAGCUCAAAAUUCAGGCCUGUCGAUGACAACAGAAAGCUCAAGAAAGAUAUUUGUUGCUGGGUGUUUGUCUAAGAUAAAUAGUUACAUGGGAAAUUUAUGGCUUAUAAUUAUUUCUUCCAUGAAUAACUUAAAUUUUUAUUUUGUUAGGCAUUGAAGAGUUCUACAGCUAUUGUGUUUCUCGAUGGUCUUGGUUGUUGUCUGGCGGUGAAGCGGUGAAAACCAUAGUGAGUUGUACAGUGGUUCGGAGUGACUUAAUCUUCUUCCUUUUUGAUCAAAAUCUUUUAUUAUUAUCUUUGAAUAGAGCUUAUGAUAUGCAGGUUGUGUUUGUGAGUGAUAUUCCAUCGUCACUAAAUUGCAGAUAUGACUGCAAAAUCAGAUUUUAUCUCAUCCAUAGCAGUCUUUGAUAUAUGGUCAUUUUUAUGUUUAUUUCCUUUAGUUUACUGAAUUAUAUCAUACUCAUUGAUAAAUUCCACACCACUUAUAAUUUGGAUUGAUUUUGAUCUUCAUGCUUUUUAAUUCAAACUGCUGGCUAUUUGAUUAUGUCAUUCUCUAUUGUAAUUUGAAGAAUGCAUUAAUUAGUUAGUUUCUUUGUUACAUAGAUAGUGAAACCAACUUUGUUUCGGAAGAGACAGAAAACAUAAUUGUGGAUUCAGCAAAGAAGAGACUCAAUGAGCCUGGUAACAAACAACUGGUUCUCCAUACUUUUAGUGUGCAUAUUUAGCCGGUCCAAUAUGGGAACCAUUUUCUUCAUGUUGUGCUUGGUUUGAAACCAUGGGCCUUAUUGAUGGGAUUGAGACUCGGCUUCAAAGCAAAACAUGAAGAGACAAAGGUAAACCAUAUAGAGAUAAGGCUAUCAACUGGAUGAAAAUAGAGAAAUGGUUGCAUUAGGAACGAUGAAUGUUUUUGGUUCGAUGACUUCCAGUUAUGUAGCAACUGGUUCUUUCUCUCAGUCGACGGUAAAUUACAUGGUUGGCUGCCAAACUACGGUAUCUGAAAUUGUGAUGCCUCUGUUAUGUAGCAACAGGGUGCUAAGGUUGCUUUUAGUAGAGAGAAUAACAUGCGCCGAGAAAAUUCGAAGGGGAGUUUUAUCAUUUAGUCAAAUGGGUAGUGUUGGGGAGUGCGAGAGAGAGGAAUCGGUAUCUCACAUUUUCUUUGAGUGUCCAAAAUUUGUAGGUGCGUGGAGUCUCAUUUGCAAAUGGAUAGGAAUUUAUACAAAUAUGCACAGCGAGGGAUGGCUAAGAUUAAAAUCUAAUUAUAUUGAUCAUGAUAUUGUCGCGUUAUGCAAGAAACCUAAGGCGUGUUUCGGCAUUAUCGAUGAUUGAGAUUCUUGGGUGUAUGUAGAGUUGGAGUGGUUUCUGUUACUGUGUGAGGCGCCCAAGGCUUCAGUCGUCGGUUUUAUUUAUCAGUUUUGGCUUCUAGCAAGGCAAUUUUGGGGCAGUGUGGUGUUCGUCGUCACUCCGCAUUGAAUGUUUUCAAUUAGAGAGUCGCUUGAAGGUAGUGUCUUUUUGGCUGAGAUUUUGAAUGUGACAUAGGUGAAAUUUGGUGCAUGUUAAGACUUAAGAUUUUGGCCUGAGGCUGUUCCUGGCUGAUAUCCACAGCAUAUUAGCUCUGCUGAAUAGUCCUUAUUUCAAUUUCUGUUUGUUGUGUUUUGGAGCUGAAAUGCCUCAAUUUAAUAGCUCUUCUUAAUUGGUUUGUUAUCAGCUGUUGUGUUAUUGCUUUAUAGGGAUUUGAAUUGUGUUGCUACUUGGCUAUUGUUGUACCAGAAACGUUAAAAUGUAUUGGUCCUAUUUGGCAUUUCUUA